Molecule: transfer RNA, 67 nt
Filed under: Marmota monax (woodchuck)
Lineage: Eukaryota; Metazoa; Chordata; Mammalia; Rodentia; Sciuridae
Description: tRNA.Ala
Source: RNAcentral
GGUUGUGGCUCAGCGGUAGAGCACUCACCUAGCAUGUGCCAGGUCCUGGGUUCAAUCCUCAAUACCA